CUGACACCUGCCAUUUUCAUUUUAGGACAUCUGUCAAAUGUUGACAUAUGGGUCUUAAACUGAAGGCCACUUGGCAAGAGCUCAUUGGAGAAUUUUUGUGGAGUGUCCACAUGCCAAAUCCAUAUUAAAUUGGGUGCCAUAAUCAGAUUAUGGCAUGAGCCCAAUUGGAUUAAGUGGGCACCCCAAGUGGAUAAGGAUGG
RNAcentral lists this long non-coding RNA (200 nucleotides) under Elaeis guineensis (African oil palm). RNAcentral describes it as "long non-coding RNA (EGUI_LNC054913)". Lineage: Eukaryota; Viridiplantae; Streptophyta; Magnoliopsida; Arecales; Arecaceae. The record is from RNAcentral.